AUAGUGUUUGGCUUCUCUUGGCCACUGGAUGAUAUGUCAGAAAGAGGAUCAUCUCCUUCUGCACCAUGGUUGACACAGAUAACUGAAACUGUGGAAAGAAAACCUGCAGGGAAGACUAUUAUAUCACCAAUAACUGCCCAAUGAAGAGUUUUCUAGAGCUGGUUGGAUGCCUCAGCCAUGUUCGGUGCACAGCUUCUAUCACACGUCCAGAGCAGUCACUCUGGGUCUUGCUAUUGCCCAACGGUGGAAGGGCCAGAGGAUGUAAAGAAGAUAAAUGUGAACAUGUGUUCCUGAUUCAUGGGCCAGAACAUUAUUAAAGUAAUCAUUGGUUGAAAACAACAAUACUAUGACAGCAAAGAUGGAACUCUCCCUUGCUCUAUUUGGAACAAAAUAGGUAAGUGACAGUACAUCCUAGACAACACAAUGCCCCCUACCACUUAUGCUUUCUACUGGUUGGCAUUUCUUCAAUCUCAAGCAACAAAAGUUGAACUCUGGCUAGAUGCAGCAAAAGGUAAUUUAU
Molecule: long non-coding RNA, 520 nt
Filed under: Vulpes vulpes (red fox)
Lineage: Eukaryota; Metazoa; Chordata; Mammalia; Carnivora; Canidae
Description: lncRNA (ENSVVUG00000018028.1)
Source: RNAcentral